Molecule: ribosomal RNA, 250 nt
Filed under: uncultured bacterium
Lineage: Bacteria
Description: partial 16S ribosomal RNA
Rfam family: Bacterial small subunit ribosomal RNA
Source: RNAcentral
GAUCAUGGCUCAGAGUGAACGCUGGCGGUAGGCCUAACACAUGCAAGUCGAACGGCAGCACAGUAAGAGCUUGCUCUUAUGGGUGGCGAGUGGCGGACGGGUGAGGAAUACAUCGGAAUCUACUUUUUCGUGGGGGGAUAACGUAGGGAAACUUACGCUAAUACCGCAUACGACCUCGGUGAAGACAGGACGUCGGCGUCGUCGCGAUGUAUAGAGCCGACGUGUCGGAGUUAGUCUAGUUGGUCGGGGG